AGAGUUUGAUCAUGGCUCAGGAUGAACGCUGGCGGCGUGCCUAACACAUGCAAGUCGAACGGGAACCCUUGGAUUCGUCUGGGGGGGAGAGUGGCGGACGGGUGAGUAACACGUAGGUGACCUGCCCCAAAGCGGAGAAUAACCAUUGGAAACGGUGGCUAAUACUCCAUGUGCUCGGGAGUUCAGUCUGUCGAGUAAAGCUCCGGCGCUUUGGGAGGGGCCUGCGGCCCAUCAGGUAGUUGGUAGGGUAAUGGCCUACCAAGCCAAUGACGGGUAGGGGGCGUGAGAGCGUGAUCCCCCACACUGGCACUGAGACACGGGCCAGACUCCUACGGGUGGCAGCAGUGAGGAAUAUUGCCCAAUGGACGAAAGUCUGAGGCAGCAACGCCGCGUGAGCGAUGAAGGCCUUCGGGUUGUAAAGCUCUUUUCUGGGGGACGAGGAAGGACGGUACCUCAGGAAUAAGUCACGGCUAACUACGUGCCAGCAGCCGCGGUAAUACGUAGGUGGCGAGCGUUAUCCGGAUUUACUGGGCGUAAAGCGCGUGUAGGCGGUUUCGUAAGUCGGAUGUGAAAGCUCCUGGCUCAACUGGGAGAGGCCAUUCGAUACUGCGGGACUUGAGGACGGGAGAGGGACGUGGAAUUCCCGGUGUAGUGGUGGAAUGCGUAGAUAUCGGGAGACACCAGUGGCGAAGCGACGUCCUGGCCGCACUGACGCUAAACGCGAAGCGUGGGUACGAACGGGAUAGAUCCCGGUAGUCCCGCUGUAACGGGGAUCUAGGGUUG
This 783-nucleotide ribosomal RNA is filed under the name Chloroflexi bacterium enrichment culture clone T-RF206. Its description in RNAcentral is "bacterial SSU rRNA". It matches the Rfam family "Bacterial small subunit ribosomal RNA", at positions 8 to 824 of the family's 1533-position model. The record is from RNAcentral. Lineage: Bacteria; Bacillati; Chloroflexota.